RNAcentral lists this RNase P RNA (354 nucleotides) under Borreliella lanei. RNAcentral describes it as "RNase P RNA component class A". It matches the Rfam family "Bacterial RNase P class A". From Rfam's summary of the family: Ribonuclease P (RNase P) is a ubiquitous endoribonuclease, found in archaea, bacteria and eukarya as well as chloroplasts and mitochondria. Its best characterised activity is the generation of mature 5'-ends of tRNAs by cleaving the 5'-leader elements of precursor-tRNAs. Lineage: Bacteria; Pseudomonadati; Spirochaetota; Spirochaetia; Spirochaetales; Borreliaceae. The record is from RNAcentral.
UAAGCUGGCAGUCAGCCAUCGCUUAGUUUUAUAGUAAUUAAAGCUUAAGAGGAAAGUCCGAGCUCCAAUAAGAACAUAAUGCUAGGUAAUGCCUAGGGGUUUAAAACCUAAGAAAGUGUCGCAGAAAAUUACCGCCAUAAAAGGUAAGGGUGAAAAGGUGAGGUAAGAGCUCACCGCUUAUUUAGCAAUAAAUACAGGCAAGAUAAACCUCAUUAGGAGCAAGAUCAAGUAUGUAAGCACCCUUUGUUCUUGAGGACAUGCUUACGGGUAGAUCGCACGAUUUUUUUAGCGAUAAAAAAACAAGAGAGAUGAUGGCAUAGUACAGAACUCGGCUUAUGGGUGUCAGCUUAAUUU